AUCAUAAGCAAUCACAAAAGAAGCAGGAUUCCAGAACCUUUUUUUAAACACAAGUGUUUGAGAUCCUUUGAACAAUGUGUGUCAAGACAGACUACUAACGCAGAAACACCUCACUGAAAGAAACAACAAAAAUAACGACAAAGAGGCAAAUUAAGAAUAAGGAAAGAAGCAACCAUAAAACACGGAAUUAUGCUACAACAUUUUUUAGGUGAACGUUGUAAGUACACAAAAGUUGUUAAUAAUAACUUGCUUCUAUUUACAAAUACUUUAACACUGGUUGACUUACAAGUAUCCACUAACGUUGUUAACAGCACAAUAGGUUUAAUGCUUAAUCUUUUUAAGUUUCUUUGAAGUAUAAUGUCAAGUAUAGCAGUCCCAGCACAAAUCAAUGACAAAAAGAGCACAAUUUUCUAACUGGAUAUGUUUGUCAGUCACUCUAAUCCAUGGAACUUUCUUACUCUCCAAAUGCAUAUUCUAUUGUUCAUAGCAGCAGUCCAGGGUCAAAAGUAAAAUUCAAUUAACAAAAGAAAGAAAGAAAGAAAAGAAAAAGAAGAAAAAAAAGAAAAAAGAUAUUUGCACAAUGGAGUGAUCAUCUCUGGAGAGUUUAAUCAAUUCUAGUAAACAAGAUCACAUGGCUAGUAGAACUAUCUUCUUUUUUAUGUUGUAAAAUAUUGUAUCCUCCAUGGUGCUAACACAAAGUUAUGGAUAUCCCUGCUAUAAAGGGGCAUAGUUAUAGUUAUAGAGAUCUAUUGAAUACAUAAAGCUCUGACACACACAGUAUUAGCAUGUCUAUUUAGAUUAAAGUUAUUAGGUCCCAUAUAGCCUUUUUUUUUUUUUUUUUUUUAGAGUUGGUGCUCCUUCGGACUCUCAAUAGUACCUCCUGCUUGCUUAUAAGACUUCAGAUUUGCCAGAGGAAUGUCUGUCAUGUGGCUGCCAUUGUUGAAAUGGCCUUCAUUGGAGCCAUACUGCUUACGGUCAUUGAACUGGUUCCUGUUGCUAUCUUCUUUCCAGGCUCUGGUAAGGGUGUGCCCAUUCACAAGCUUGUCCUUCUUGACCCAUUCUUUCUGGGGUGCAAAGGUUGAGAGAGGAGAUUUAGGGUGUUGAUAUGGGCCCAAGCCAGGAGGCAUCCAGCAAUUAUCAGAGUGACCCAAAACCAAGCACUCUUGAGUGCACAUCUCUGUGGCUUCAGCUAAUCCUCGGGGACCCAAAGGCCCAUCUACAGAGGGCAAGAGACAGAGAAAAUAAGAAAAGAAAGUGGUUAGAACUGUAAUUUAAAAUUGUCACCUUUGAGAAGAAGUGCAUUGGUGAUUUCAUUUUCUUAUGAAAGUAUAAUAAGUUACGCAAUUCAAAGAAUUCAGUCUUUUAAGAGGAACAGAAAGAAUCGAAUUCCUUGUUGUGGAAGUAAGAAUCAUCUCUUUCCUUCAGCCUUCAUUUAUAUCGAGAAACAGACAUGAGUAAACAGAUAUACCCACAAGACACCAUUUCUGAUCAACUGUUUCUGUCGAGUAUGUAUUGUUACUGAUUUACCGUCUAAUUCUCAACAAAAAGCCCUUAUUCAUGAAAAAUUAUGAAGAGUCGAAAAUUUUUAUGUGUGAUGUUGAAAAAUAUGUAAAUAUGUAAAUGUACAACUCCAUAAAAACAAAAUACUUGAAAUAUAAUAUUAAAAAAUAAAUACUCUAAAUGAUUAUAUAAAAUAUCAGUUUUCCAUAAAAACAUGUUAUUUUUAUACAAAACCACACAAAAGUAAUUGUGCAACAUUUUUAAAUUAAAAAAAAUUAAAGCAUAUUUUAACUGUGUGUAUUACUAAAGGAACACCUGGUCUGCUGCAAGCAUUCUGAAAUCCAAGUAAAUAAAGAAGUCAUUUGCAUUCAAAGACAGCAUUUGGUUGUUUCCAAACCUAACCUAUUUUCUUUUCUUUUAAAUUUUUUUAAUGUUUAUUUACUUUUGAGAGAGAGAGAGACAGAGUGUGAGUGGGGGGAGGGGCAGAGAGAGAGGAAGACACAGAAUCUGAAGCAGGCUCCGGAUUCUGAGCUGUCAGGACAAAGCUUGACGUGGGGCUGGAACCCACGAACCACGAGAUCAUGACCUGAGUUGAAGUCGGACGCUUAACCGACCGAGCCACGCAGGUGCCAACAAGCCUAAACUAUUUUCUAUAUUUCGAAGCGUAUUAAAUAAAUUCACUGGAAUGAAAGUCUAGCUAAGUUGCAAAUUGGAUCACAUGGAGUCUAAUAUUCAGGGGGGAAAAAGGCAUUGUAGAUAUUUAUCUAUUGGUUUGCUUGUUUUUCCUAGCAGGCAAUCUAGAACAUAUAUUUUAACCUUCAUUUCAAAAGUAAACUCUUUUCUGAUUAUAUAAAGAGGAAAUUAGCCCUUUACUGAAAAACAACAGCCAAAUGAUUCAGGAAAAAACUGUUUUGUUUUGUUUUCUUUCCCCUUGAUUAAACAGUCAAGUGAUAAGUGAUAGGCUGGAAAUUAGGAAUUGAUUUUACGAAGGAGGUUAAGUGGAGAGGCAAGAAUGGCUGAGGCAAAAAGCAUUUUCAAAAUAGUCACCAGAAUAAAAAUGUAGAAGAAAAUGAAGAAAACAUUUCUGCAACUUUGCCUCAUCAACAAUUAAAACACUUAAUCCAUUGAUUGGAAUGUAUGUUUUUGCUAAAGCCCAAGUUAGCACUACUAACAUUUUUAAGUGCCCCAAAUUGUGCUUUUUAAUUUUAACAUCUAUUUGUCUUACUAAUAUUCCAGUUAUUCCUUGCAUAUGAAAAAAUUCCUGCUGAAAUAGGUAACAGUUGAUACAAAUACCUGAGACCACAAAACACAAGCAACAUCAGAAUGGUCACCAGAUGUGAAAAAAAUGUGGCUAAAAUUUACUCUUUCCUGCAAAUUCAAAUUUUAGUCAUUUUUAAAAUCUAAAACCUUCUCUUUAGAACAACUUUAAAAUUCUUUCUCAUCUGACCUGUAUUUCCAUCCCGCCAAAAGCAAACAGAUAUAUUUCGUUUAAACACACGCUCAUUACUCAAAACUAUUUCUGUCACAAACCUCCAAAGAUUACUUACAUCCUAGUAUAUUUAAUUUGAACUUCUCUAUGAGCCUUUCUUUGUCCUCAGAAUUCUGCCCACCCUUCAAAAGUUCAAACUAAUUUCUCCCUUUUAGGUUCAGUUUAGUGUGCUCAGUGAUUCUGUAUCCACAAAGCGAACACAUUUUGCUCAAACCAAUUCAUGCUCCUUACAUUGAGAUCACAGGUUUAGAAGAUGCUUUUUGCAUGCUUUGGACUAUUUUCAUUUAAUUACUUAUUCUUUCAAGGUCAGCUUGCUUCCCAAGUACCAAAGCUAACUCCCACAACUACACCAAUUCAUAUUUUGUGUGUACCUUGAAGAUAUCCACAGAUCUCCUCUUAGUGAUGAAUGACAAUUUUCCUAAUUGAGCUUCCUCAACUCCUGCCUUAAUGAUACCUUUUUCUUUUGAGGGAGGUUCUGUACUUUCAUGAGUUUCAUUUUAUUUUUGUUUUAUCCCAACUAGAAAAAAAAAACAACUUCUCAGUCUUUUGAUUCCUUAUUGUGCUAAGCAACAGUGAUGAUCUAUGAACAAUGUUAAUUGUUAAUUAAAAUUUUAUGAGGUUGAAAAUGUUCUGAGAAAUAAUUAAAAAUAUCCUCUGCUUAAAGGCAGACCUUAAGUAAUUCUAAUAGAAGAUGCUGAUUUCACAAACAUCACACCAAAAGCUUCCUCAACAGCACAUCUCUUUGCUUCACAAUACUUUGUGACAGAUAAUAAAUGAAUUAUUUAACUUCGCUGUUAAACAUAUUCACUCCUUUCAAGACAUCAAUGGAGAUAAAGUAAUCACCAAUUUGAUGUGCAAUCUAGCUUGAGGCCUCUAAACCAACCUUCGUUUUUUACUUUUCUAGAACCAUUAAGUUUUUCUUUUUUUGUUGUUGAUAUCUCAAAGGAAAACAAAUAAUUAGCUAUCUCAGAAAUAUCAAUAGAACUAGGUUUUUAUUGAGUACAUAAAAGGAAAGAAUAUGCAAGAUUAUUUUUGUUUUAUUUAUAAAUAUUUUUAUUUAUUUUUAAUUUUAUUCAAAUCCAAGUUAGUUAACAUAUAGUGUAAUAUAGCUUCAGGAGAAGAAUUUAGUGAUUUAUCACUUACAUAUAACACCCAGCUCUCAUUCCAACAAGUGCCCUCCUUAAUGCCCAUCACCCAUUUAGCCCAUCCCCCCACCCAACACGCCAACACCCCUCCAGUAACCCUCAGUUUGUUCUCUGUAUUUAAGAGUCUCUUAUGAUUUACCUCCUUCUGUUUUAAUCUUAUUUUUCCUUCUCUUCCCCUAUGCCCAUCUGUUUUGUUUCUUAAAUUCUACAUAUGAGGUAAUCAAAAAGUAUGAAAUCUUGGCUUUUGUAACAACAUGGAUGGAACUACAGGGUAUUAUGCUAAGCAAAAGAAGUAAGUCAGGGAAAGAUAAGUAUCAUAUGAUUUCACUCAAGAUUGUUUUUUAAAAUAGCUUUAUCCAACAUUCAUUAUCCUCAUAUUAAAUUAAGAAAUUACCCAGGGGGCACUUGGGUGGCUCAGUCAGUUAAGCACCUGACUUUUCACUUAGGCUCAGGUCAUGAUCUCACAAUUUGUGAAAUAGAGCACCAUAUGAGGCUCCGUGCAGAGUCUGCUUGGGAUUCUCUCUCUCUCUCUCUCCCUCUCUCUGCCCUUCCCCUGCUGACACACAUGUUUUCACUCUCUCUCUCUCUCAGAAUAAAUAAACUUCUAAAAAUAUUUAAAAAAAGAAAGAUUACCCAGAGAUUGAGAAAGUGUGUGUGUGUGUGUGUGUGUGUGUGUGUAUCAGAAUAUGUGGACCCUAAGUCUUCAGCAAUGAGUGACACAUUUUAACAAAUACUGUAUUUUUUUUUUCAGAACUGGUAACAUUUAUUUAUUCCAUAAAUAUUUACUGAGCACAUAUUAUAUGCUGACACUGUGACAGGCACCAGGAAUACAGCAGUGGUCAAAAUAGAUGUCAACACUGUCCUCAUAGAGUUUUCAGGUUACCCUGGGAAUUUUUAAAGUUCUCACUACUUUUAUUUUACAAGCAGUGAACAAAGAGGGAAGAAAAGGGUAUCCUUAAGAAGGAACAGGUGUCAUUAGCAGUCAACUGAUUUAGGAAGGCUUGUCUCUUUGCAAGGUAACAGAUGGACUUUUUUCCCUAUUACAUCAUUUCCACCUUUUUCUGAAAGUUCCUCUUACAGAUAAUUGACAAGUAAAGACAUCUACAGUUAUGAGUACUAUACAAAAUCCUGACUGGUAAAAAAAUGAGCUUCUUGGGGCGCCUGGGUGGCGCAGUCGGUUAAGCGUCCGACUUCAGCCAGGUCACGAUCUCGCGGUCCGUGAGUUCGAGCCCCGCGUCAGGCUCUGGGCUGAUGGCUCAGAGCCUGGAGCUUGCUUCCGAUUCUGUGUCUCCCUCUCUCUCUGCCCCUCCCCCGUUCGUGCUCUGUCUCUCUCUGUCCCAAAAAUAAAUAAACGUUGAAAAAAAAAUUAAAAAAAAAAAUGAGCUUCUUUCCAUUAAAUAAUAUCAAUCGCUCUUUGCGAAUUAUACUUAGAUUUAUUCGCACAAGUAAAUUUGAAGGCUUUUGAUAAAAUGCAUAAAUAUAUUUCCAGACAUUUCUAGAUUCUUAGGUAAGUCUUUCAGGUAGCUGAUUCCUGUAUAAGAUUGAUAGAUCCACCGCAAGGUGGAACACAACACAACACUUGAAUGAAAGCCAGAAGUCUGUGUUCCUUAUGGCUCUAAAAGAGAAAAGGCCACGGGCAGGGGGGCACAGAAGGUUGCACCAGGAAAAGGUGAAAAAGGGGGAAUUUCGGGAGGGGAGGGCGUUUAUGCCUGGCAGACAGGGUGGGUGGGGUGAGCUGGUUCCCUGGGCUGUCUGUGGACUGAUGAAUUUGAAUAAUUUCUCACAUUCUAGGGGACAGGGGCUGUCUGAAGUUGUCUGGUAUGUCACCCCUGGGCAAUUAAGGAGGGUGCAUAAUGAUCUAGGAGUGUGAGGUCUCUAGAAGGGAAGUAAUGUGUGGUGUGGGAUCAUUCAAGGGGAAGUGACCAGACUUUCGCCAGGACCUCAGCACUCACUCAACACAGCAUUAAAGAAAAAACAUAAGUAUAUGAAAUUGUAUGACACAAAUUUUCUUAUAUGCUUGAACCACAUGGUUGGGAAAUAUACUUCACUUUAUGUUUUGGUUAAGUUUUAUUUAGGGACAUGACAUUGAAUAAGGAAAUUUUUACUUGUUUUAUUUGGGCCUAUAUUUAAUCACCAGUAGUUGCCUUGAUGUUAAACAACAACAAACCACCCCCUACUCCUGGGUUUUAUUUUGGAAAAUAACAAUGCUUCCAAAUUGUCAUGAUUUGGUAAGAAGGGGAAAAAAACACAUUUUUAAAAUUAGGGAUUAUUAAAGGGAAAACAGUCACACCUCUAGUUCCCUAAAAGUCCCUGUUCUUUAAAAGUUUACAAUCAGGGGGCACCUGGGUGGCUCAGUUGGUUAAGUGGCUCUUGAUUUCGGCCCAGGUCGUGAUCUUAGAAGUCGUGAGUUCCAGCCCCAGGUCAGGCUCCGCACUGACAGCGUGGAGUCUGUUUGUCAUUCUCUUUCCCUCUCUCUCUGCCCCUCCCCUACUUGCAUGCUCUUUCUCCCAAGAUAAAUAAACUUUAAAAAAAUUAUAAAAAAAGUAAAAGUUUAUAAUCGGAAGCAUGCUAACCAUGGAAGAGUCACCAUUCAUUGCUUUCAUUUUUAGAUACAAUGACUGAAUUGUUUUGUACUUUUUAAAAGGAGAAACACAUUCUUUAUAAAGCACUGAUAUUGAAUACUGUCACUUCCCAAAAUAUGAUUAAAAACAAUCAACCUAUAAUUCUCCAUCAAAUAUAUAGCACUUAAAAUACCAGGACAUUUUUGCUAAAAUAUGAAAAAUAUAGGCACUAAAAUAUUGCUCUUCAUCUUUGACUAUAAUUAUUUUUAAUAUUAUCAUAAUAAGUAAUUAUCUUAAGUGAUGAAUAAUAUUUUCCAUUCAUAAGUUCCCUCCACAAGUGUAUAUUGAAUAUCUAUCAUGUACCACACAUAUCAGAUACUACGCUGGAUUCUUAAUAAAUGCCUUAAGAUUUUAUGCGUGUACAUGUGUUUGUGUGCACAUGUGUUUUUCCCAUUUCUCCAAUUUUUUACACAUUUUAAUGUCCUACUUGUGCUACCUCAUACAAUAUCUGUUUAGAACCCAGGUCAGGAUUCUGAACUGCACAUACAUUAUUUUCCACAAUUUCAGCAUUGCACCAAGUUAUUUCCUUUCUCUUCAAAAUAAUUAAAAUACACCAUCAUGAUUUUUCUAAGACUGAAACAUGUAUUGAUUUUUUUUAAAAAACUAAAUUAUUUGUUCCCUUUCACAAUCUGCAAUCUAUGGGUUUGGUUAUCGUUCCAGGUUUUUGAAUGUAUAAAGACACGAGGGCUGAUAAAACUGUACAAGCCAUCUGUCUCUGCAUUUAAAUGUUGAAAGCAAAUACAAAAGCACAUAACCAAAAGCUUGAAAGUUGUCUCAGUUAAUAUUUAUAUCAGGUGUCAAUGUAUUUCCCUCUCCACCUUUGCAUAGCUCACCUUCUCACUCAAAACCCAACAAAAUACUUUUUCUAUGGUUAGGCAUCAAUAGCUGUCAGAGAGCUGCUUGAAUUGCUGAGUUUUAAAGAUGUGAGUUUAAAAUGUGAAACGAUCCAAGUUAAUGGAUCUCCAGCUAUACCUAAGUGGUAGGAUAGCUGAAUGGGUCUUGAUCUCAUUUUAUUAUACCCAGAGGCAGAACCAUUACUUCAUUGAUUAACUCAACUGCUGUAAUUAACAAGUACCUUCUGGCUUGUGGUCCACCUACUUUUCAACCCGAGGACUUGAAACCUUUUAAUUCCAAAGCUUGGAACUGAUAUUUUUAAAAAAAAUCAUGAUACCUUUCCUAUUCCUGGUUAGGCUUCAUACUUUAUGAAUAUUUGGCCUUUUAUGUGAAUGAAUUUUCUCUAGAAUUUUUACUGUCAGGUAAAAUAUGAUUAAACAGACUACCAGGAUUGAAUUGCAAGAGAGAGGAGUCAUUUUUAUAUCAUUUGGGAUCAAACUCAUCCCAUUUCACUCUAGUUUUCAUUUCACUUGAUUUUUAUGAUAGAAAAAUACAUCUUCUAUGCAGAACACACCUGAUUCUCAUGUUACAAUGGCCUUUUUUGUGGUAAGAACAUAUAUCAGUAUUUUUAUGCAAAACAUUUGUUCUUAAGUUCAAUUUUGCUGAUUUCCCCAAGAUUUUAUGGUAGUAGGUAGGAAGUUCGCAGAGCUGUGCAUCACUAAGCACCUUACAGUGAAGGAGGCAUCCCCAGAUUUGGAUUUGCUGCAGCAGUUUCCCAGAUCUCUAGGCAAAUGAUAAAAUUUCUUCACUUGUUUUAAAUAAAUUUCCAUUUUACGUAGACUUUCAUCCUAUAAUUUUGCUUUACACUUGCUGUUAUUAAUAUACUGUGAAAAAUCUUAUUUUUCAUGAUUGCUCUUUGCCUUAAUCAAUUUUCCUAUAAUAAAAGUUCAGGGAAACAAAUACUUUCACCCACUACAUUUGAAGUUAAUUUUAGCAUCUCUAAGAGACCAAUACAAAAACAUCAGUAUCUUUGCUAGCUCAUUCUCACCCUCAUUUUCAGCUUAUGUCUUUCAUUUUUCUCUUUUCCCUUCUUUUCUUUCUUUCUUUCUUUCUUUUUCUUUUUUUUUUUUUUUCUGGCAUGAUGUAACAGUGUAACGAUUUCUUAUCAUCGCUGUGGAUUACCUUGAAUGAAAAGCUGAAGCUAAAUGCUUAUGCUUAUGCAAAUAUGGAGGGACCUGAAAAAUGGGUCAAAUUCAUUUGCUAGGCAUCCCUCCUCUCUACUAUUCUAUCACCACUUACUAUAUUUAUUGAACAGUUGCUGUUAAAAAUCAAAUCAAUUAAUUUGCUUCCCAUCUAAACUAUGGCCAAAAUUAAUUUCAAAUAUGAGAGUUGGCAUGAGAAACAGAGGAACUUGCUUAGCAUUACCCACAUUCCCUUUUGAGACAUCAUUCUACUUCAGAUCACAAUACACAAUGCCAAAUCAAAAUUUUUAAAUCAAUGUCACAUGGGAAUAAAUAUCAGUUAUUACUCUUUUAUAUAGAAAAACAAUCAAAAAGUAUAAUAAAUUCCAUUGCCAUUAAUGUUGCCAUUCCAUUGGCAUACGAAAUAGUGCAGCACAGUUAUGUGGACAGUCUAAGACCCAAAAAUAGAUCUGGCAAAUUUGAACACACUUAUGGGAAAAAUAUUUUUCAUUCAUUCACUCAACAAGCUUUGUUUGAUCAUGUUAGGCUCAAGAGAUUGCUAAAUAGAAUAUCUAAAAUCAGAACCAUCAGGUCACACGGAUAGCUAGGUCAAACAGAAAUAGAUUUAAGUCACAGUCAAACAAUGAAUGAAUAUAGACUUUGUGAAAGUAAUUUUAGAUUCCUAAAAGAUUUUAGCUAGUCCUAGUUUGUCAUCUAUAAAUUAAGAGUAAGAGACUAGAUUUUCAUGCAUGACCUCUACCAUUUUCUUAUUCUCUCAUCAAAUACCACUGUGGUUUGCCAUAGAUAAUCAAACUUUUCAGUGUUGUUUUCAUUUUAGUUAUGAGAAGCCCCAGACAGAGCAAAAAAAUUAUAAAUCAAUUUUUCCUGUAGAUUACAGUAUUAUUUAGGUCACAUUCAGUUUUUUGAAUGUGAAACUAUAUUUAGAACAAGUAUUUAUGUUUCUAAAUCUAAGUAAAAAAAAACCCUAAUGAUUUAGUCAGAGUUUAGCUUAUAGCUCAGAUUUAAAUGCUACAUUGAGACUGCACCUACAGUCACCUUGAGAAGCAAAUGCAAAAAAAAAAACCCACAUCAGCAGGAUUUGACAAAACCUUUGGUUAACAAGUAAACAAGGAUUAAAUGUUUUACACACUCCUCAUACAGAUUUUUUUCCUUGGUCACAGAUGAAAAGUCAACAUUUGCAGAUGGAGACGGUCCAAAUACAAUAACACACGGCCGGCCCAAGCAGCAGAUUCUCUGAGGGAGAGGAUAUUGCUAUUUGGACAGACUUUAUAGCUCACAAAGAAUGGAGAGCACUUCCUUAUAAGUCUUUAGCUUUCUUCUGCAUGGCAUAAAUAUCAGCUGCCUUUGUCUCACCUGCAAAAGCUAACCGCUGAAAAGAAAAUUAUCAGAGAUAAUGUCAUUUAUUAACUAUUAUUAAUGUUUGAUGUUGCAAUCAGUUGAAUAAAAAGGUCUAAGGUUAUUCACUACCAAAUUUUGACCAAACUGCAUGAUAUGAAAUAUUUACAUUAUCGCUGAUCAUAUUUAGUUUCUACUAUAGUUUACCACAUUUUAAAUUAUAUUUAAUAUCUUUCAUUUUAAAUACUCAUUCUCAUAUUGAUAUUUCCUGAAUUAUUCUCCAUUGCUUGGAAUUUGCAUUAUUUCUCAAAAACAUGUAGUGUGGCUUAUUUAAUGUGCAACAGACUUUAAGGAGCCAAUCUAAGGUAUUGAGAAAUGAAGUAAUUUUUUACAGAUUUAUUUCAGGCCAAGAUCCAAAUGUAAAACGGAGAAGCGGCCUAUGUAAUCUUCCAUCUCCUUAAAAAUAUUCUCAGCUGCUUAUCUAAAAACCAGGCCAGGAGUAUAAGUAUUGACUAAGACAAUGGCCAAGGGGACAAUGCAGACAUAAUAAAGUCAUUUAUCAACUAAUAAAGUUGGCUUUUAGUUAAAUAAAGAGAGAUUAUCAGGUAGGCCUAAUGUCAUCAUGUGAGCCCUUGAAAAGCAGGGGAUUUUCAGCAGCAGGUAGCAGAAGGGAGCUCAUACUCAAAGCACAAGAAGGAUUCAAUGGGCCAUUGGUGGCUUUCAAAAUAGAAAAGACCACACAGAAAAGAUCUGAGAGCUGCCUCUAACGGCUGACAGCAACUCCAGCUGGGCAGUCAGUAGGACAAUAGGGAUCUCAGUCCUACAAUGAGAAGGAACAGAAUUCUGCCAACAACAGAGUUGUUUUAGCUAACAGAGUUAGUUAAAAAAAUGGAUUCUUCCUCAGAGACUCCAGAGAAGGGUUCAGUCCAGCUGAUACCUUGAUUUCAGCCAUGGGAAACCCUAGGCAUACUGAGCCCACUUGCACUUAUGAGAUAAUAAGUGGACAGAAGCAGAGAUAAUACAUUUGUAUUGCUGUAACCAGCUAAAUUGUGGUAAUUUGUUACUCAGCAAUAGAAAACUAAUAGAACAUCUGUCGUUUACUCAAGACACACAGUCAGUCAGCAAGUUCUUUAGUCUACCUACUUCCCUGAAAACCCACCAGCUCAAACCACUAUUAUUUCCUAACAGGACUCCCUUUUUCUUUAAGCUCAAUCCCCAAUGUGGGCCUCAAACUCACAACCACAGGAUUAAGAGUCUCAUGCUCUACUGACUGAGCCUUUGUCUACUCUUUUGAAAUUCUAUUCUCCAAUCUUUAGAGUCAUCUAUAUAUUUUAAUUAAGUGAUAGAUAUAGAUAGAUAGAUAUAGAUAGAUGAUAUAGAUAUAGACAGAUACUGAUAUAUAGAUAUAGAUAGCCCUUCAGGCACCUGGGUGGCUUAGUCAGUUAAGCAUCCGACUUCGGCUCAGGUCAUGAUCUCGCAGUUUGUGAGUUCGAGCCCCACAUCGGGCUCUGUGCUAAUAGCCCAGAGCCUGGAGCCUGCUUCGGAUUCUGUCUCUCCCUCUCUAUCUGCAUCUCCUUCACUCACACUCUGUCUCUGUCUCUGUCUCUCUCUCUCUGUCUCUCUCUCUCUCUCCCUCAAAAAUAAAUAAACAUUAAAUAACAACAAAAAAAAGAUAUAGAUAGCCCUUGAACAACAUGAAGGUCAGAAGCAUUGACCCUCAUGCAGUCAUAUGACUUUUGACUCCACCAAAACUUAACUAUUAAUAGCCUACUGUUAACUAUAAGCUUUACAUAAUACAGUUAUUAUAACUAUGUUAUAGUUGAUUAACACACAUCUGUAUGUUGAGGUAUUAUAUGCUGUAUUCUUACAAUAAAGUAAGCUAGAAAAAAGAAAAUGUUAAGAAAAUCAUAAAGAAGAGAAAAUACAUUUGUAGUACUGUACUGCGUUUAUCGAAAAAAAUUCAUGUAUAAGUGGACCCACACAGUUCAAACCCAUGUUGUUCAAGGGUCAGCCAGAGUUGUAAGUAUAUAACUAAUAUACUUAUAUUAGUCUCCUAUUUCUGCUGUAACAAAUUACCACAAACUUAGUGGCUUAAAGCAACAUAAGUUCAUUCAAUUACAGUUCUGGAGGUCAAAAGUCUGAAAUCAAUUUCAUUAAACUGAAGUCAGCAUGUCGACUGCAAUGCUUCCUCCUGGAAACCCUGUGGGGAGAAUCCAUCCCCUUUCCUUCUUUCAGCUUCUAGAGCCAUCCAUGUUUCUUAGCUUCUGGGUCCUUCCCCCAUUCUCAAAGCACAUCUCUCCAAUCUCUGCUUCUUUUAUCACAUCACCUCCUCAAAUUCUUCCUGAAUUCCUCUUAUAAGGACCAUUGUAAUUACAUAAUACCUACGUGGAUAAUCCAGGAUAAUCUCCUCAUUGCAAAAUCCUAAAUCUAGUCACAUCUGCAAGGCCCCUUUGAUAACAUUGUCACAUGUUCUGGGGACUACGAUUUAGGUACAUUUGGGGGCUAUUCAGCCUAACUCGAUAUUUAGAGCAGAAUACCUCACUAACUCAAUAUUUAGAGCAGAAUACCUCACUCCUUUGCUUCGCAUCACAUCAGAGUAAAAGACAGGGUCCUUUCCAUGGCUCAAAAAGUCUCACAUGGUCUGGCUCCUGCCCAACUCUCUGACCUCGUAUCUGCCAACCCUCCCACCUGUUCUCCUGUACCCUAUCUUACUUUGCUACACUCACUUUCUUGCUGUGCCUCAAAUACACCAAGAUCCAUGAGGUCUCAGGGUCUCCGGAUUUGCUAUGAUUUCUGCUUGGGAUAUCUUCUUCUCAUUGGCUCUGGAGAAACUCACUCACUUAAUUUAGAUGUUUCCUCAAAUUAAAUUCUUCAUAGAGGCAUUUCCUGAGCUCUUUAUUAAAUACAUAUAUAUAUAUACCCCUACCCAGUCACUCUCCAUUUCCUUACCCAACUGAGUUCUUCUUAACACUCAUUGCUACCUGUCAUAAUAUAUUUAUUUGUUAAUGAUCUAGCUCUAAGAGUAGAAUCUAAGCGCCACAAUGCCAGGUAAUUUGCUUUUUGAUAACUGCAUCCACAACAUGUGUUACUAUGGCCUGGAACAUUAUAGAUAAUUUCUGGAUACAUUUUUUUUAAAUAAAACAUAAAUGAAGCUUGUUCUGAGUCCUCGAAUCAGCGAACUAACAUAAAAACUGUAUGUAGAACAUUAUGUGACAAGUAAUUUACAUUUAGAAAAAUAGUGAUCCAAUAGUUUUUACCUGUACAUGAGAAACACUGCUAAGAGUUCAUAGCAUAAAAUUUCACUAAGAUAAUACUUGGAACAUCUAAAUGGCAUUAAUAAAUGAAAGAAGCUGCAUUCAAAAGCACUUAUGCACUAUCCUACUUUGGACUUGAAGCAAGUGAAAUGUUCCAAAGUGAAACAUAAUUAGGUUGCUUCCUAUAUCCUAUCAAACUACUUUAUCAUGCCAGAAAAUUCGUAACUCCUUUAACCAUCAGAGCCCUUUAGAUGUCUUCAGAAGUCCAGAUUCACAGAAUACAUAACAAAAUAAUUCUUUAAAGCCUGAAGACACCAAAGUAAUUAUUAGCAAUUAUUCUAAAGCAGAGCCCUAAUGAGAUGCAGAUAAUUGUGUAGGAUUUAGCUCUUUGAUACAGGUAUGCUCAGGUAAAUGGGAUGCCAUUUAGAAAAAAAAAAAAAAGUUGAUUAGGGAAUGUAUUGAAAACUUAAAUGUAGUUUAGCCUCUGUAAAUAUAUUGGCUUACAAUUAUAAGAGAUGAAAUUAUUGUUCACAAAUUUUAGGGGAUAAGGUGAUUUUAAAAGAAGCUAAUAUGUCACAUUAGAUUACAUACAGAAUGUCAUGGUAAAAUUCAUUGCUUAAAUUCAGUUGUACAUAAAGAAAACCUACUCUAAAAAUGAGAAGUUUAAUGUUAUAUUUUGAAAGAAUCUCCUAAGGGAACUGUUGAAAAUAGGAUUACUUCAUUAUUGAAAAUGGCCUGUAUAAUAGACUAUUGUGGAGAGAAAUCUUGCCCUCUCAGGGUGAUGCAUAGAAUUACCCAUUCCAAUCUAAAAUGUCUGUUUAUCUCUGGAUGCACCUUGCAAAUCCAGAGAAAUUACUUCAUUAAUAUCAGUCUUUGAAAGAUAAAUUUCUCUCUUAAAAUAAUAAGAAUUACAUGUGAAUUUUAUAACAUCUAUGUAAAUUUGGCUGAGAUUUCCUGCAUUAUUUUCUGCUCUGCCUAUUGCCAAUCAGAGACCAUAGUUUUCUGACACUAGAAAACAUCUCUUUAAUAUUUUGAUGUUACAGGUAGUUGACCCUAAGUCCCAACUAUUCAACAGAUAAUAAUAUUGACAUAUUUAUCAUAAAAAAUCACUGUCAUGAUGAUUUUAUGUUAUGAGACAUAUGUCAUUAUCAUUUUUCGGAGAUAGAAAAAAGUUUGUUGUAACAUCAAUGUGCUUUAAUAUCUAAUCAAAAAUAUUUACAAAUUUCUCACGGUUAAGCUGAUGUGUACAUGCAAAAUUUUAGGCAGACUCUUGGAAUUAAGUUUCACAGUGAAUAUAAGAAAACAAAAUAGGGGAGAGGGGCUGCCAUUAAUUCUAUAUCUAGAGAAAAAAUCUUGGUAAGCAAAAUUUGACCUUAUCUUCUGAGGGGUCAUCUUUUUUCUUCCUCUGGAUUACUUCAAUAAUUUCUUUGGAGGAGUGGUCACAAUCACAUCUGCUUCCUAUCUAGGUCUCCUGUCCCUUUGCAAUUAAAUAUGUUUUUUAUUAUUUUUCCAAUAUGUCUCACGAAAAUGACCUGUCUCUCGGGCAUAAUUGGUGGUUGGCUAUUCUGACAAACUCAUUAAUCUUAUAAUGUCAUCGACUAAGAGGCUAAGUGUUAUCCUUUGGAAAAAAAGCUACACGUCAGUAAGAGCCAGAUAAAGAUGCUUUAGUCUGCACAUAGGAAGGCUUGAGACAUGAUGGCAGAUGAAUAGAGAAGGCUUGGAGGCAUCCGUCAAAUUGUAACGUGAAAAUAUGCCUCUCCAUGAGCUGGCAGAGCUUGGGUACCUUUCAAUGUCCUGGCAUGGAAGAGAUGGCACUCAAAAGGAUUCCCUCAAAAGAGUUUAAUGAAGGAACUCUGUGGAGUAUGGGCUGGGAAAAGAAAACCAAUAAAAAGUAGAGAGGGAAGCAAGGACCUGGAAAAGUAUGAUGUUAUUACCACUCCUAUAUCUAAAGGGGUAAUCAACAGGGAGGGCGGAAUGGCCCUGGAAUCUAGAAAGAACUAUGGAAGGUCUGGAAGAAGGUAUUCAGGAAACCAGAGAGUGAAUAGACAAGAUAAAUGGUAAUAUAAACGAUAAGUACAAACACGGGAAAGUCUUUGUUUCUGUUUCUUUUGUGAAUCACUAGAUACAAAGCCAAUAAGUAUCCUUCCAACUGAAAUCCAACUGUAAAGUCUUCAUUGGUCUAGACACAUUUUCAAAUUCCUUUAUGGUCAUCCACCGUAAAUCCAAGUGUGAUCAGUUUGGAAACAUUACUUCCUACUAACUAUGCAUAAUAUAUGAGCCAACAAUAAGGAUAAUAACUCAGAAUAAAUAUUAUUUAAAAAUUCAGGGGCACCUGGGUGGCUCAGUUGUUUGUGUCUGAUUUUAGCUCAGGUCAUGAUCUCCCAGUUCGUGAGUUCAAGCUCUACAUCAGGCUCGUUGCUGACAGUGCAGAGCCCAUUUCAGAUCAUCUGUCCCGCUAUCUGCCCCUCCCCUGCUUGUGCUCUCUCAAAAAUAAAUAAAUCAUUAAUAAAUAAAUAAAUAAAUAAAUAAAUAAAUAAAUAUUCAGAGUAACUGGGUCCUCUGUCCCUCUCUCUCUUUGCCCCUCCCCUGCUUGUGCUCUUUAAAAAAUAAAUAAAACAUAAAACAUAAAACAUAAAUAAAGAAAUAAAGAAAUAAAUUAAUUAAUUAAUUAAUUAAAAUUCAGAGUAACUGUGUGAGUUGGUAAAAAGAGAGUUAAUAUUUUUAAUAUUUUAGUAAAAAUUCUUCAAAUGUUGCACUUCAGAUUCUCACCAAAAAUCUCAUUCUUUGUAUAUGUGAAUCAUAACAAAAAUAACUAACCUAGUAUAUCUUCAUCAAAAGUAAAAAUUAUUGGUAAAUUUCAUAAGUUGUAGUUUCUAUGUCUUUUUGACUUUAUGCAGUAAAGUAUGGUUAAAACAUUUGAUUCUUGUUUCAAGUUCUUGAGUUGGCCUCUGUGCCUCAGUCUACCACAUCAAUAAAACCACAAGACAGCUGGCCCUUGCCAAACAUUACCAAUACUGCUUAGGAUGUCAGUUAGUUUCUCUCUAAUAGAAGUGACCUGCACAAUGAACCUUUAUUUUUUAAUCUGGAUGACAGUCAAAGGUUCUGAGAUCUGUGAACCUUUGGCAAGAUUUAUAAAGUUAAGUUGUCAUCUAGAACAACUGGUGUGGCUUUGGUUCAAAAUCAAUCACUAAGAGUAUUUUGUAUCUGGCUGAAAUACUCCAAAAUGUUCUCCCUGUCAGCAUGGAAUGUAAAUAGAAAAACAAAAGCAUAUUUUAUAAUCAUGUUAAAACUAAUAAAUUACUUGAAGUUACUCCUUGGGACCUACAUAUAUAUGUAUAUAUACAUUUAUGUACAUAUACACAUGUGUAGACAUAUAUGUGGGUACAUAUAUAAAUACACAUAUGUGUGUAUAUACAGAUAGCAUUAUUUUUGCUAAUAUAACUAUAUAGUGUAGGUCUUAUUUACAUUCUCCAAGCCUCGUUUUCCUAAAAGAUGACAAAGAUGAGAGAAGAUUAAGUGGUGUUAGUGGAUUAAAUAGACUACUUAAGAUCACAUAUUGCUUGAGCGUCCUCCCUUCAAGCAAUACCACUGAACCAAAUUUUUUUCUCUCAGAGUGUUUCUCAGUGAAUCAAAAGCAUUUUCCUCUCAGGUGAAUAAACACCUUAUGCAGAGCUAAAGAAGUAUACUUUGUGUUUCUACACAAUCAUGCCUGAUUGCGUUCCUGAAGAAAAGUAUGAAUAUAUACCAGUGACUACAAACUGUCCUUCAAAUUCUUUGACAUAAUGUUGAAGAGAGCCAAAGUCAUGAACCAGGAAAAAUAUCAAAGGUCUUCCUCAAAUGCGGGUAUUAUUUUUCCAUUACAUUUUUUUUUCUUGUGGUAAAAUAAAGAUUCAAUGAUUUUUUUUAAUUUGCUUGUUUGCAGGGGAUGAGAGGUUGAUGUCUAAUUCAUUUUACAAAGAGCUAGAAAUGACAACUAUAAACUAUAUUUUCCUUAUGUAAAGAUUCAUUUUUUAAAUUUUUUAAUGUUUAUUUAAUUUUGAGAGAGACAGAGACAGAAUGCAAGUGGGUUGGGGCAGAGAGAGAGGGAGGCACAGAAUCUGAAGCAGGCUCCAGGCUCCGAGCUGUCAGCACAGAGCCUGACGUGGGGCUCGAACUCACGAGCUGUGAGAUCACGACCUGAGCCAAAGUCAGAUGCUCAACCGACUGAGCCCCGCAGGCGCCCCAAGAUUCAUUUUUAAAGUUGGUAUCCAGGUGAAUGAAUAGGGAUGAAGGUCAAGGCGACACUGAGAACUUAUUUGUACUUAUAUUAAUUAUUCUUGGUUAAUGAUCAUCACUACUAUUUUAGGAGCUAAAGCUGUUUGAAAGUGUGUUAUUUGGCUGGCUGCCUAUUCCAAUGCCCUCUGAAUCCCUAAGAGGGUCAGGUCAAUACAAGAAACUCAAAGCUGCUUUCAUUUGUUUAAUUAAAAUAGUCAUUAUAAAUGAACAGAUUGUGUUUGUAAACUUAUAGAGCUUUAAAAAAAACUUACUCUUUCUAAUUGCUACAUGACAAGAUAAGCAGUCUCUAUGAGUGUUUUCGGAACUCCUGCAAGACUUGAAAUUACUAUUUAAUGUUCUCAUGUUCUCUCCUUCUGGGCUGCUCAAAGUCUCUGCACGCUGUCUCACUGUAGUUCACUUUUGUUUCUUGUGAUUCUUUGUUUCUUCCCUGUCUGAACACCUCAGCAUCUUCAGUACACAGCUACAGUGUCAGUAGACUAGAGAUGUCUAGGCCUGUAGUGUUACUGCCUCACCAACUAUUACUAAAUCUAAAUUAUCAGUGAGACUGAUCAAACGACCCAGAUUACAUUAACAGGCUCUUAUAUUUUGGGAAGCACCAAUUUUGGGAUUAUUUUUGUUAUUUGGAAUUGCUGCUAAAUUGAAGUCACAUUAUUUUUGCUGUUUUUCUGAAGGACACACUGGAGUUUUUAGACUUUAUUUUACUUAUUUAUUUAUAUUUUGAAACAGAGAGAGCAGGUGCCCAGGAGGGGUAGACGGAGAGGGACACAGAAUCUUAAGCAGACUCCACGCUCAGUGGUGAGCCUGAUGUGGGGCUCUAUCUCAUGAUCCUGAGAUCAUGACCUGAGCCAAAUCAAGAGUUGGACGCUUUACUGACUGAAGUCACCCAGGUGCUCCCAUGCUGGAUUUUUUUUUUAAUUCCUUUCCAUAAGAAGACUUUCCUGGAUCCAAGUAUUUGAGUACCUAACAAAAUGUACCAAAUGAAUGGAUAGAAGCCAAGCCAUUCCAUUCUCUCUAGUUAUCUCAGUGACAGAUGUAUAUUAACCUAUGAUCAUUGUGGCUGAGACGAUCAGUAUUGAUUGUGAAAAUGGCCACAACUCAGUUUGUGACAUACAGAUACUGCCUAAGUGUUUAAAGGCAUGAAUCAAAAAUCUGACACAGUUAAGUUCAACUUGAGUGGCAGCACUUAGUGCGAUGUAGGGACUGGAAAAUAGGCUGGAUUUGAGGUAAGCUGGCAAUCUAUCCCUGUUUAUGAUUUAACACUGUGCACUGACACAUCUUUUUUUCGAGCCAUCUGCUUCCUUCAUAUCAUUAGAGAACAAGGCAUAGGCCACAUUUCCUCUGUUUAUUUAACAGCAUGCUUGUUAGUGACUGCAUGCAUACCAUCCUUAUUAAUUCAAGAACUCGUGUUUUCAGAUAGGAAAGUGUGCUAUAUGGAUGUUGGAAAUGAUAUAUUCCAGGAACCAAUAAGGUUAAGUUUUCUGAAGUAGAUCCAAUGAUUUCAUAAUUAGUAUUUGGUGUACAUUUCAGUUUCAUUUGCAUAUGCACAUAUGUUCAUUCUUAAGCUUUGCUAACAAAACUAGAUGUAUGAAAAAUCUCUACAUAUUUCAUGUCCAAAUGGAUUACAAAAACUAUGGCCUGGUAAAGCUCUCUGGCUAUUUUUCUUUCUUCUUCUCCUCUUUUAAAAAUCAUCCAGUCAUACUUAACAGGAAAAUUCCUCCACUGUGAAUUAUGAUAUUUCAUGAGUUUCCAUUUUUUAAAGCAAAGUAUAGUUUUAACAGAACCAUUAAGUGAGAUCAGGAGUAAAGGAAUUACAGCAUUCCCAAGCGUUAACAUAUUCAGUGUUUCCCUUUCUUACAAGAAUAGCAGUGCAGAUGUUAAUUAUAAUAGACAGGAAUGACCUGUCAAGACACCUAAAAUCCUUGGUCUUUGAUCCUCUGGUCCUGUGCCGGGUUUGAUGACUGGCUUAUGAAGGAAAAUAAGGAAAUGGAUCUCUAACAGUCAUUUUAAAUGAGCUCUUCAUCUCCCACCCUUUCCAGAACAUCUGGUUUAACCUCAAAAAUUGGAACGAUUGUAAAAUUUUCAUUGAGAGAGUCUGCUGUUGCACUUUAACCAGCUACUUACCCUUCCACUACUGGACUCAAUUAUUAAGGAACAAUUCCAGCACAGUGAGCUGUUUGGAGGCAAUAGCUGUUAAGUGUGUGUGCCCACGCACACAAGGAGAGAUCCCAAAUAACAAAAAUAAUAAUAUCACAGUACUUAUAUAAUAAAAUAAAAUAAAUCAUAGUGUCACUGAAGAAACAAAGAGGUGUUUGGUUUCAUUUUAGGGAAUUAAAGAGUUUGCUCCUUUGG
This 20004-nucleotide long non-coding RNA is filed under the name Lynx pardinus (Iberian lynx). The record is from RNAcentral. Lineage: Eukaryota; Metazoa; Chordata; Mammalia; Carnivora; Felidae.